This is a long non-coding RNA of Bos taurus (domestic cattle), 561 nucleotides long. The record is from Ensembl. NCBI's taxonomy places the organism in Eukaryota, Metazoa, Chordata, Mammalia, Artiodactyla, Bovidae.
AGGAGUUUUCACCCUGCCUUGGAAGGGGGCCCAGGGAAUACCUGCAUCCCAGAGUGAACCUAAAAUCUCAAAGGAGACUGCAGCCCUGGAUGAUGGAGGAGAGGGAAGCCAGUCCAGAAACUGGCUCCCUGGCAGUGACCCUCACUCUCCUGGCCACCCAGACAGUCUUUGGGGAGAAGACUCAAAUGUCAAGGAGUCUGCAAAGGGCAGUGGAGUGGCUGGAGGACCGAUUAGGACUGCAGCCAGGGCAUGGCCCCCUGGGCUCAGGAGAACAGCAGUCCCAGCCUGUUUUUCCUGAUAGAUGAUGAGACUGUUCCCUGCUGCCAGGUACCCAGAGACCCUCACUCCUUCAGGUGGAGGGCCACUUGCUCAGAUGGCCUUGGAGUUUACUGUGCACCUUAGCCAGGCAUGCAGAUAAGUGGAAUGAUGGGAUUGGGGUGCAUUGUGUUGAGUCAGUCCACCUGGCAAGAUACCUGAACCUCAGCACCUGAUCCUGGAUGUUGGGUUUAUCAAUCCAGCGGGUGAGUUGAGAAAUGGCAUCCAGUCUUUAAGGGCACCGUC